CACCUGGGUGAAAGGUUGGUGAUUAGC
This 27-nucleotide non-coding RNA is filed under the name Rattus norvegicus (Norway rat). Lineage: Eukaryota; Metazoa; Chordata; Mammalia; Rodentia; Muridae. The record is from RNAcentral.